AUAAAGAAACUGUAGACGACAUCUUCUUAGUUAUCUCUUGUCGGCUACAUAACCUUAUGUUCUUUGUUUUGAAUCUAUUGUUUUGAUUCGCGAAAUUCUUAACAAAAAAUGAGGAAGCGCAUGCACUUGACUCAUCUUGACGGGAAGGCCCAUCAAACAAAGUUACAAUCGAAGCUUUUUGGGCGAUGUUGGAAACCAAAUCUCCAAAUACAGUAUCGAUUACAAAAAACUCUCAAUUGAAUUCAGUAAUGAGGCAUUGAGCUCGGAAAAUUGAGUGAAUGGCCGCCAUGACUUAUUCUAAGGUUUGAGAGAAAUGAACUGUUUGGAUACAUAUCUAACGUAAUUAAGAUCCGAAUAGAGUAGUAACCAAACACGGAGGAUCCGCGUCCUUUUACACUUCUGAUUACCUAUAUGCCCUUAAUUUCUUUUUUUCUUUCUUCUUCCUUUCUUUUCUUGUAGGGGUAUUAUAUGGAAUUUUUUUUUAUUUUUUUCGAAAAUCUCUGAUUUGUACUCCCCAAUUAAUAGUAUAGAUUAAGUUGUGUUUCAUAAGAUUUAAGGCAUACAUAUAUAUAGUGAUUAGCUUUGAUAUAUUGCUAACACAACAUAAUGUAAACUUUCCUAAACACAUAAGGAAAUAGCUUAUACAAUAAGUAAUAUCAAGAUCUAGAAUAUAUUUUUCGGAUUGGGCUUCACUUCAUUAACGGACUUUACGGUCCAUAUUACUUGGUCCGCAAGAUACACAUCUUG
Molecule: long non-coding RNA, 747 nt
Organism: Camelina sativa (false flax)
Lineage: Eukaryota; Viridiplantae; Streptophyta; Magnoliopsida; Brassicales; Brassicaceae
Source: RefSeq, a predicted model, not a curated record